RNAcentral lists this ribosomal RNA (427 nucleotides) under uncultured bacterium. Its description in RNAcentral is "partial 16S ribosomal RNA". It matches the Rfam family "Bacterial small subunit ribosomal RNA", at positions 354 to 796 of the family's 1533-position model. The record is from RNAcentral.
GUGGGGAAUAUUGGGCAAUGGGGGAAACCCUGACCCAGCGACGCCGCGUGAGGGAAGAAGGCCUUAGGGUCGUAAACCUCUGUUGUGUGGGAAGAAGAGCGUGACGGUACCACACGAGGAAGUCCCGGCUAACUACGUGUCAGCAGCCGCGGUAAUACGUAGGGGACGAGCGUUGUCCGGAUUUACUGGGCGUAAAGGGCGCGUAGGCGGUCAUUUAAGUCAGCUGUGAAAUGGUUUGGCUUAACCGGAUCAUGCGGUUGAAACUGGAUGACUGGAGUGCUGGAGAGGCAAGUGGAAUUCCCAGUGUAGCGGUGAAAUGCGUAGAUAUUGGGAAGAACACCGGUGGCGAAGGCGACUUGCUGGCCAGCAACUGACGCUGAGGCGCGAAAGCCAGGGGAGCAAACGGGAUUAGAUACCCUUGUAGUCC